This 1890-nucleotide long non-coding RNA is filed under the name Homo sapiens (human). Its description in RNAcentral is "long independently transcribed non-coding RNA 1960 (LINC01960)". Lineage: Eukaryota; Metazoa; Chordata; Mammalia; Primates; Hominidae. The record is from RNAcentral.
CUCUGGUCUCCUGACUCUGGCAGGGGGAACAUUUGCACUGUUCUUGUUCCUUACCCCAGGAGCUGGCCUAUUGCACAACCUCAGGAAACAGCCCCUAUGCAAUCCUGGCCCACAGAGCGGACAUGUUCUGGUUUUUAUUCAGCAGCUUUUUUAUGAAGUGUGUUUUCCUUUCCCAUCAUGUCAUCUGGAAGCAAUUCCUCCCAACAGCUGGAUUUGCUUUCACAAUUGGUAAACACCGCGAAUGGAAGGCCGGGGACGAUGCGGAGCUCCCCGGAGGAGCCUUGUCCCCACCCGCUUGGCUCGCGUUCUGAAGCUUAUCGCGGGUGCCUGCACAAGCCUCAUCAAAAUCGAGGGCGUCCUCCAGCAGGCGACCCACAUUGCAUUCCCCGCUUAAGAGGGUCAACGUGUUCUUCGGGGGAGAAAUUUUCUGAAUGCUUUGCAGAUAAAAUUGAUCAGAUGCAGGCCAGAUUGCCAGCUGCCGGGGCCGCGUGCGCCUGUGGAGGCCCCACCAGCGCGGGGCACCAGCGCCUCGGGGUCCGGGGGAGGCCUCUCUCUGCACCGCCGCCACCAAAGCCAGUAAGAGAGGGCAAAACCCCAAAGAGCACUGACUGGGCCGUCAAGGAAGAUGAAUGUCUCCCCAAAAGUGCUCCUCGGGGACAAGUUUCCACGCAGAUGCAACCGGGAACGCCGGCCAGGCUCCGGAAGGCGAGGCCCCAGAGCGCAGCGGCCUCCAAGCGCGGGCUCAGCCUGUCGCCUCCGCAGCCAGGGCCCAGGAGGCCGCUCUUCCGGGGUCACCAACACGGCUCGUUCUGAGCCUAGAGGCCCAGGGCACAGUGUGAGCCGGAAUACGGUGUAGGGGACACAGCUCAGGCCCCAGGCACUCCCUCCUGUCGCAGAAGAAAUGCUGUUCUUUGAUCAAUGUUUCUAAUGUGGGGAAACCAGCCGAGCACGUGGCUGAACUCUCGGAGGGAGCACGGGGUGCUGGUGAGCCCCCGCUCUGAUGCACAGAGACGCUGCUGGCCAGGCUGGGGUGGGUUGCAAAGGCUUCCUUCCAUGCACCACCAACCCUGUGGGCAGCCAGGGCCUAGCUCUCAUGAAGGGGCCUUCCCAGGGCAAAGUGGGCCUCUGACUGCAACGUUCUCUGGGCAGAGAUAGGCAUCCUUCCCACUGCACAAACAAAAGGAGACCGUCAAGGGGAGAGGCUCACCAGAGGACCCUGGUGAGGGCGACGCCCAACUCCUCAGCACAAGGCUGUGCUUCUUCCAUGGAGCCCGUUUGCCUGGGCCCAGCGCGUGCGGAGUGCGUUCCUUCUCGCUCCCUCUGUCCUGUGGGCCCUCCUCUCUCUCCCUCCAGCCUGGUGGAAGCUUUAUUCUCGUCGGGGGCCAGAGGACAGAAACUACAUCAUACAUUUUCCCGUGCGUCAUGUUAUCUUGCCUGGAAUUUUGAAAAUCUGUGAGUUUCUGGUUUUUCCAUGGCAAGGCUCAUUCCUCCAGACCUUAGUCACUCUGCUCUGGCUGCCUGGACUGCUAGAGAGGGGCCUCAGGGCGCACCUGGAGAAAUUCACUGGGGCCCAGGUCAGAGGGAUGGGUGGGUGAGAGCAACCCCUUCCUUAAUAGUUCAAAAUGGCCCUCUGGCUUAAAGAGACCGAAGCCACGUAACAACCAAAUGCAAUGUGUGGGCCGUGUUUGGAUCCUGAUUCAAACAAACCAACUGGAAGAGGAGAUUUGGGGAUAAUCAGGAAGAUUUGAAUUGGGACUGCGUAGCAGAAAAUAGCAAAGAAUUAUUGUUAAUUUUGAUAUGUGCGAUAAUGGUGUGGUAGUUAUAGAAGAAAACAUGCUUAUCUUUUAAAUGGUGUAUAUUAAAGUAUUUAAGGGUGAAAAAAAAAAAAAA